This 388-nucleotide ribosomal RNA is filed under the name uncultured organism. Its description in RNAcentral is "bacterial SSU rRNA". It matches the Rfam family "Bacterial small subunit ribosomal RNA", at positions 45 to 433 of the family's 1533-position model. The record is from RNAcentral.
UGCUUUACACAUGCAAGUCGAACGGCAGCGCGGACUUCGGUUUGGCGGCGAGUGGCGAACGGGUGAGUAAACCAUCGGGACGUACCUUAAAGUGGGGGAUAACGCAUCGAAAGAUGAGCUAAUACCGCAUAAGCUCUAAGGAGGAAAGGCGGGGAUCCUUCGGGACCUGUUGCUUUAAGAGCGGCCGAUGGCCGAUUAGCUAGUUGGUGGGGUAAAGGCCUACCAAGGCGAUGAUCGGUAGCUGUUCUGAGAGGAAGAUCAGCCACACUGGGACUGAGACACGGCCCAGACUCCUACGGGAGGCAGCAGUGGGGAAUUUUGGACAAUGGGGGCAACCCUGAUCCAGCAACGCCGCGUGAAUGAAGAAGGCCUUCGGGUUGUAAAGUUC